ACGGGUGAGUAAUGUCUGGGAAACUGCCUGAUGGAGGGGGAGUAACUACUGGAAACGGUAGCUAAUACCGCAUAACGUCGCAAGACCAAAGAGGGGGACCUUCGGGCCUCUUGCCAUCAGAUGUGCCCAGAUGGGAUUAGCUAGUAGGUGGGGUAACGGCUCACCUAGGCGACGAUCCCUAGCUGGUCUGAGAGGAUGACCAGCCGCACUGGAACUGAGACACGGUCCAGACUCCUACGGGAGGCAGCAUG
Molecule: ribosomal RNA, 251 nt
Filed under: uncultured bacterium
Lineage: Bacteria
Description: partial 16S ribosomal RNA
Rfam family: Bacterial small subunit ribosomal RNA
Source: RNAcentral